This 476-nucleotide ribosomal RNA is filed under the name uncultured bacterium. Its description in RNAcentral is "bacterial SSU rRNA". It matches the Rfam family "Bacterial small subunit ribosomal RNA", at positions 28 to 507 of the family's 1533-position model. The record is from RNAcentral.
AAUGAACGUUGGCGGCGUGGAUUAGGCAUGCAAGUCGAGCGAGAAAGAUCCGGUGCUUGCAUUGGAUCUGGAAAGCGGCGAAAGGGAGAGUAACGCGUAGGGUACCUACCCCAGGUCUGGGAUAGCGGCGGGAAACCGCCGGUAAUACUGGAUAAUGUCCCCGGACCAAAGGUGAGAUUCCGCCUGGGGAUGGUCCUGCGUCCUAUUAGCUUGUUGGUGAGGUAACGGCUCACCAAGGCAAAGAUGGGUAGCGGGCGUGAGAGCGUGGCCCGUCUCACUGGGACUGAGACACUGCCCAGACACCUACGGGUGGCUGCAGUCGAGAAUCUUCCGCAAUGGACGCAAGUCUGACGGAGCGACGCCGCGUGCGGGAUGAAGGCCUUCGGGUUGUAAACCGCUGUCAGUGGGGUGGAAAUCGUAUGGGGCUAUCCCCAUAUGUUGACCUAACCGCAGAGGAAGUCCGGGCUAAGUACGUG